Long non-coding RNA from Drosophila innubila, 884 nucleotides. RefSeq lists it as uncharacterized. The transcript has 2 exons. Lineage: Eukaryota; Metazoa; Arthropoda; Insecta; Diptera; Drosophilidae. The record is from RefSeq and is a predicted model, not a curated record.
AGUUUUUAUUGCACAUAUACAAAUGUAUGUAAUUGCUUGAUUAUUAAGGCACACGGGAAUGGGGAUGGGGUUAAAUGUGGGGUAAUUUAGCAAGAGCUGGCGCUUUUGUGGUGUUUGGGAAUUUUCCAACAAUUUAUAAUUGCUUUUCGCUGUUGUUUUGGCGCACGAUUUGAUGUGUCAACGAGAUUGCGAUAUAUGGCCCAUUAUCUAGAUUCUAGAUUCUACAGGCACACGUCAAGACUUACAAGUGGGUAUAUGUUUGUAUGUAUUAACAUACGUGUCCACACUCUAUAAUUAUCUAAAUGUAAGCACGCUAGGUCUAGAUAAUUGCGCCUAAUAUUUGCAGUGCCUCAAUCAGGGGUUUCCAACUACUGAUUAGGUGUCAAGCGCAGACAAACCUGUUGCCAAUGGGCGGCCAUUUUGUUUUUGCCCAUACAAGGCAUUGUUGUGAAAUUCAAUUCGAGAAUCUUUCGCUUUGGACCCCCAAUUGGCCCCAAAGCGGGAACUGUCCGUAAAGCUUAUCGCUGCCUAUCACGCUUUUAUUGGGUGUAUCAAAUAAGGAAGUGUGUUUUAUGCAGGGACAAUAUUGUUUUAAUCUAAACUAGUUAUUUCUAAAAGGAAGUUGCGUCGACGACACUUUUAGAGCUUGUUUCGAGUUUCCCUAACAAUUUCAUUGUUUCUCUCAAACGGUCAAUUAAAAGUGAGUAUACAAAGUCCUUUUGUCUUUUAGUUGUAAGCCUCAUAUUUGCUUGAUUGAAACGCUACCACUAUUAGUUUGUAAGCUUGUUUAAUGAAAAAAAUGUGUAUAUAUUGAAAAAAGGAGUAAUUCCAAAAACAAAAAAAGGAUUAAUUCCAUAAAAAAGGCGUAAUGCCAUAAAAAAGGA